GGGUAGUUCAGUGGUAGAACAUCCACCCGGUAAGCGGAAGACCCGGGUUCGACUACCGGUCC
Molecule: transfer RNA, 62 nt
Filed under: Pristionchus pacificus
Lineage: Eukaryota; Metazoa; Nematoda; Chromadorea; Rhabditida; Neodiplogasteridae
Rfam family: tRNA
About the family: Transfer RNA (tRNA) molecules are approximately 80 nucleotides in length. Their secondary structure includes four short double-helical elements and three loops (D, anti-codon, and T loops). Further hydrogen bonds mediate the characteristic L-shaped molecular structure. tRNAs have two regions of fundamental functional importance: the anti-codon, which is responsible for specific mRNA codon recognition, and the 3' end, to which the tRNAs corresponding amino acid is attached (by aminoacyl-tRNA synthetases). tRNAs cope with the degeneracy of the genetic code in two manners: having more than one tRNA (with a specific anti-codon) for a particular amino acid; and 'wobble' base-pairing, i.e. permitting non-standard base-pairing at the 3rd anti-codon position.
Source: Rfam by way of RNAcentral